AUGUAUGGCAGCAGAAGUGAUGUUCCAUGUCCCAAACAGUCAGCCACCCAAGUUCUGGAUGUUGCCAAAAUUUUGCAUGAAACUGAGAUACCCAAGCUUCAGUACCAUCAAAGAGGCUGCAGAAUGUUCACGGUGAAGACACCUUUUCUGUGUUAUUGAGAAAAAACAAAGUGUUAUGGCUUUGGAAAAAGAAAUUUCUAGGAAGUCACUAAAACAGGUUACAAAUGAGGUGGAAGACUAAUACUUAAAAAGACAAAGGACUUGUGAACGGUAAUUGCACAGCCAGUGUUUCCCGUUUGGAAGAAGCACUUAAAUGUGUCAACAAGACUUGUGGCAACAUCUGCUGAGCACAUUUUGAUGCCAUCCUUUAUAGCCACUCAUUUUUACAAGGCAUAACAAUUUCUGAAAUAUAUCUGAGUCUACAGUGCUGUGAGCAGCUGAGAAAUCUAUCAGUUUCUUGACACUGAAAUGAGAUAGACUUGUUCUCUUCCUUCUCUUUCUGCCGCUCUUUCCACCCUUCCAUGGUCUUUGCUGAUUAGUUUUCAGCAGGGUUAAGAAGCUGAAUUGAUUCGAGAAAGGGUCCAACCAGCUUUAGAUUUUUGUCUGUACGGGCCUUGUAGCAAAACGGAUGGGAUGAAGAUUGAGUGGAACUUCUUCCUUUGAGCAAAAAAUGUGUUAUUAGAGUCACUAACUGCAUUUUGUGGAUCCUAAGAGAUGGCGGUAAUUGAAAUAUUCUGGGUCUCUUACUCUGAUAUCAAGAUGCAAUGUUAAGGUCAGCAUGGACUGGUAGGGAAAAAAUAUUGGACCUGCGUCUGAAUUCCAUCUGUGCCAUUGUGCCCUGGACCUACGCAUCCAAUUAUCUGAACUGUACACAAUCACUAACUAGCUUACAAUACGCAAAUGAUGUGUUUAUAUGUAAACCACACAAAAGGGCAUGUUCUGAGACUGCAGGAGAUAAAUCCAGAAAGUAGUUGGUGUCAUCAAAGUGCUGAACACUGAAGCAUCUGUACGAGAUACUUGAGGGACAGGUUAAAACUGAGUUGCUCCAAGAAAAUUAGCAGAACUCAAAAUACCUAGGAUACUGAAAUAACAAACAGAUAUUAUAUCUUUGGUUUAGUAUGUAAUAUGCUUGGGAGAAAGAGAUAUUCUAAUAUGUGGUGAUAUGGUCAGCCUAGUAACUGCUCAGUUGUCCUCCUUCUCCUGUUCAUUUUCACAGAGGACUUUCUGAAAUGCAACAAGGUAGAGUAACAAGCAUACCACAGUUUCAAGAAGAAACAUUUUGAGAAUAAUUCUUCUACACGGAAAUGUUACGAUCAGACAUCCAAAUAAACAUUUUCAGACUUUUUUUUUCUAAGGGAGUUGGAAGGAUCUCAGGAAAUGAGUAAUUCUCAGAAUAGGCAGGAAUUUACUUGGGAACUUAUUAGUUGCUGGACACUAGAGAAGUACUGGCAUGUCCAUUAUUCCCUGGGCAUUGGCACUACUCAGUAGAUGUCCGUGUGAUUAAUGGAAUGAGCCUGGUCCAGACAAUGAAGAGUGUUAAAAAAGACCUUUGCAGAGCUUGUGGAAAGUGCCUGGUUAUUAGUAAUACACAGAGGUGCAGAAAGUUGAAGAAUUUUUGUAGCUGUUGACGUUUCUUGGGAGAUGUCCAUAAAAAACGCUGGAGGUGGAAGAGGAUGUCUGAUACAUUCAUUUAAAGAGUAGACCUGCAGAUCAGAUGCAAGAUAGCUAACAAAGGAAGAAAAAUUAAGUUUGAGUCUAACAAGUUACACUUGAGCAAUAAAUGACAGUGUGUCAUUCAGUGUGUGAAUAAAUCAUGCACACUCGAAAUUAGCUUGGACUUUGUGAAAUGCUUGUGUCCCUGUCAAACCAACGAAUGCAUGUGCAUUAGCAAUAGACUCUAGUCCUUGUGUGUAAGCUAAAAAGCUGUAUCAAAAACCAAGCUGAUGAAGGCGGCAAUUUGAUGUAUUUAUAUCAAAGAAAGUCAGGAAUAUGAGGAAGAGGCAGAGAGAGAAUUCUAAUAUCGCUAGAAAUUAGUAUGCUUUAUAAUACAUCUUUUAGUAUGAUUCUCCAAAGAAAAUAGCACAUUACUUGUUUAUGAUUACUUCAGACAAAUAAUAAAUUUAUUUUAGCUGUU
Long non-coding RNA from Gymnogyps californianus (California condor), 2134 nucleotides. RefSeq lists it as uncharacterized. Lineage: Eukaryota; Metazoa; Chordata; Aves; Accipitriformes; Cathartidae. The transcript has 2 exons. The record is from RefSeq and is a predicted model, not a curated record.